AUUAGAGUUUGAUCCUGGCUCAGAUUGAACGCUGGCGGCAGGCCUAACACAUGCAAGUCGAGCGGAUGAGGGGAGCUUGCUCCCUGAUUUAGCGGCGGACGGGUGAGUAAUGCCUAGGAAUCUGCCUGGUAGUGGGGGAUAACGUUCCGAAAGGAACGCUAAUACCGCAUACGUCCUACGGGAGAAAGCAGGGGACCUUCGGGCCUUGCGCUAUCAGAUGAGCCUAGGUCGGAUUAGCUAGUUGGUGAGGUAAUGGCUCACCAAGGCGACGAUCCGUAACUGGUCUGAGAGGAUGAUCAGUCACACUGGAACUGAGACACGGUCCAGACUCCUACGGGAGGCAGCAGUGGGGAAUAUUGGACAAUGGGCGAAAGCCUGAUCCAGCCAUGCCGCGUGUGUGAAGAAGGUCUUCGGAUUGUAAAGCACUUUAAGUUGGGAGGAAGGGCAUUAACCUAAUACGUUAGUGUUUUGACGUUACCAACAGAAUAAGCACCGGCUAACUUCGUGCCAGCAGCCGCGGUAAUACGAAGGGUGCAAGCGUUAAUCGGAAUUACUGGGCGUAAAGCGCGCGUAGGUGGUUCGUUAAGUUGGAUGUGAAAGCCCCGGGCUCAACCUGGGAACUGCAUCCAAAACUGGCGAGCUAGAGUACGGUAGAGGGUGGUGGAAUUUCCUGUGUAGCGGUGAAAUGCGUAGAUAUAGGAAGGAACACCAGUGGCGAAGGCGACCACCUGGACUGAUACUACUUAGUCAAGCG
Molecule: ribosomal RNA, 754 nt
Filed under: uncultured bacterium
Lineage: Bacteria
Description: bacterial SSU rRNA
Rfam family: Bacterial small subunit ribosomal RNA
Source: RNAcentral